Molecule: long non-coding RNA, 300 nt
Filed under: Mizuhopecten yessoensis (Yesso scallop)
Lineage: Eukaryota; Metazoa; Mollusca; Bivalvia; Pectinida; Pectinidae
Description: uncharacterized LOC110450621, transcript variant X1
Source: RNAcentral
GAAACAUAUUCAGAUUUCAGCCCUGAAAAUGGACAUGGCUGACAAGAGACCAACUGUAUAUUUUGGAGCACAGUGAGACCUGUAAAGAAAUCCAGAACAUCAGUGAAAGACCAACUCAACCACCUGGUUUCGAAUCGACAGGAAAAAAUGUCAAAAUUAAACCUUCAACAUCAGCAGAAAAUGAGGGCUACAUAGGAAAGCAUGCAACAGCUUAGAGAAAAUCCAUCGGAACUAACAAGCUUCCGGCGGCGCUUGUUGGAUCCCUCCUCCACAAUCUCAAAACGGACGGGCUGGUCUCUC